Molecule: long non-coding RNA, 263 nt
Filed under: Capra hircus (goat)
Lineage: Eukaryota; Metazoa; Chordata; Mammalia; Artiodactyla; Bovidae
Description: lncRNA (ENSCHIG00010019060.1)
Source: RNAcentral
UAUUUGUUUUAAAACUAUGGAAUAAAAUAUCUGAGGAAGAUUUCUCUCAAAAUUGUUUUUCUCAAUUUCAAGAAGAUGAAUAAAAAGGAAUGUUACCUCAGAGGAAAGCAAGAUAUGCUUCUCAGUUUUUCAUCAAUUGAGUUGUAAAACUUGAACACGGAAGUAUUUUUCCUCUGAUAAAGAACACUCUAAAUCACUUAAAUGCAAUUGGAAACCUGAUCCUACACAUACAUGUGUACACAGAGCAAGAAAAGUGAAAAUGC